RNAcentral lists this ribosomal RNA (116 nucleotides) under Periophthalmus magnuspinnatus. The record is from RNAcentral. Lineage: Eukaryota; Metazoa; Chordata; Actinopteri; Gobiiformes; Gobiidae.
AAUGACAAUAAAUCUUGAAUCUUGAACCACCUUGUCUGAUCUCAGAAGCCAAGCAGGGUUGGGACUGGUUAGUACUUGGAUGGGAGGCAGCUGGGAAUACCAGUGAGGUGACAGUG